Molecule: long non-coding RNA, 620 nt
Organism: Lolium rigidum
Lineage: Eukaryota; Viridiplantae; Streptophyta; Magnoliopsida; Poales; Poaceae
Exons: 2
Source: RefSeq, a predicted model, not a curated record
UGAUGCCAUUAUCAUUUGGGAUACUUAGCUGACGAUUACCGAUCAGUACUUUCCAGAGAUAGUUCCCUGAAAAAUAGUCGGUUAUUUCCAGCAAUCAAUGCAUGGAGUUCACAUGUUAAAACAUGGAUAGGCAUUUCACCUAAUAGUUGGUUAUUUCUCAGUUGAUGCAAUCGACCAUCUACCAAUAUGACUAUGUCAUCUCACCUAAGGAGAUUUGCCAUUUGCUUCAGAAUGUCUGCCAAUGUUUUGGUUUAGAAAUUUGUGUAUUUCAAGACAUCUUUAACUUGCCUCACUAUGUUGCUAUCUCCUGGUAGGAUGGCCACCUCUGAAUGUUUGCAGAGAGAGGCUCAUAUGGACGCUGGCCAACUUAUAAGUUCAGAUGAUCAAGUGGUUUUCAUGAACUGUUUCAAACGAGCUGCUCGGAAGGGUCCUCAUAGAUCAGGUGAAGCAAGAAAUGGAAAUCAGAAAUCGCAAAAGACUAUAUGGAACAUCAGGGUUAUGGGAAUGACUCUUAAAAAGAGCCCGAGGGUUAUCUCAUAUGGGAAUGGCUCAUAACAUUCCAAGUGUUAUUGAAUUCUGGAUGGGCUAAAUAAGCAACGAUUUGCAUCCUUUCAUAUUGA